ACAUAUCAUGUUGAAACACCAGUUCCUGUACGAUCACUGAAGUUAAGCAACAGUGAGCCUGGUCAGUACCUAGAAGGGUGACCACUUGGGAAUAACAC
Molecule: non-coding RNA, 98 nt
Organism: Acanthosepion pharaonis
Lineage: Eukaryota; Metazoa; Mollusca; Cephalopoda; Sepiida; Sepiidae
Source: the annotation of a GenBank genome assembly